Molecule: long non-coding RNA, 1440 nt
Organism: Lathyrus oleraceus (garden pea)
Lineage: Eukaryota; Viridiplantae; Streptophyta; Magnoliopsida; Fabales; Fabaceae
Exons: 4
Source: RefSeq, a predicted model, not a curated record
AUCGUUCUUCCUUUAACUCUAAAACUAUGGCUUCAAACAAAAACCAACCUUCAAAUAUUAUAAGACCAAAAAAUUUCUAACAUCUACCUCAGUCGAAAAUGGGAUGAACAUUUACGAACUACAGACCCAUCCCUACCCACGAGUUUUAAUGGAGCCACAAACCUUAAAUACAACAUCAAGUUUUUGGAAUCUUAAAUACAUCCCAUACCAACAUCAAUAGUCAUCUAGCUUAAAAUAAACACAAAACAGGUGCAAGCAAAAAUCUCUCGAAGAGUAGAAAAGAGCAAACCCUAACGUGAAGGCGAAUGGGUCUCGUGAAAACCUUGGGAAUCCGGCAAAAUUCCGGCGGUGGUGAUGGCUUCAGAGUAACGAUGCGUAAAUCCGAGAGAGUCUUCAAUGCUUCAAUGCCCCCUUUUAUAGAGUCGAGUACGAGGUUCAUCGGUUCUCAUCCUUCAUGAACCCUUCCAGAUUUGGUGGUCCUCCAAAUUGAUGUGGUCCCCGAAAUGAAAGGAUAGGGUUUUGUCCGUAGUGAACAAAAAAACUAUGUGGUGCAUUGAGAUUUUUCUUUACUGCAGUAGAAACCUUAACUUAAUUUUUAUAUUUGUAAUCCUUUUAUAUGACUUGAACUUUCAAUUUUCAUUCAUAGUCGGGUAACUGGUAAUUCCUGUCUUGGCAGGUUUAUUCCUCCUGAAGUUUGCCUACUAUCAUUGGUCAUGGUUAUGCGCACAGCAGCAAUGCUUCUACCUGACUUAAGUUUUUGCCUUGAGGUCUAACUGAUUGUGACCUGUUUUCCAUACGAUAUGCACAACACGAAACAAAACUUCAGCAUACGUAUCUGUUCUUGGAAACAAUGUCCAUAUUUGCUUGAUAGAGUCAUGGAAAUUGCAGGGUUAAAAUCAACUUAUAGGAUGCAUAGGUCCAUAUUUGGUGUAUUGGAUUGAUUCGAUUUAGGUGAGUGGAUUAUGGCUGCAAGAUGGUUAAUGCAGGUCUCGCUGCUGUAAGGGUUGAGGUCAUGGUGAUGGCAGAUUCAUGAUGCUUGGCAUGGCUUUGUUGUUGUAAUGAUUCUAUGCUGAUGUAGAGUAGCAGCAUUUUGUUCUGAUUGGCCUCAGGUGAUGCUUGUUACAUGGUUCACAUCGGAGGUGUGUUGCGCAACAGGAUUGUUACUUACCAUGGUUUGGUCGUCUCCUUGCUAAUACUCUUGGCGUGACGGUUUGUUUUUGAAAUAACCGCGCUAUCAGGAUUGGAAAUUGGAGUAUUCACACACCAAUGGUUCAACCAAAAAUCAAAGCAGAGCUUGAGGAUGUGAUUAAGAUUAGGAUGAAUUUAUGUCUUUUUUUGGUUAAACUUUGUAAUUUUGCUUCAAACAAUAUGCCCCUUUUUUAUGGGUUGUAAUAGAUGUUAUACGCGUAUUCGAAUGAAAUUUAUGGCUCUUGCAUCGAA